GAUGAAGAACGUAGCGAAAUGCGAUACUUGGUGUGAAUUGCAGAAUCCCGUGAACCAUCGAGUCUUUGAACGCAAGUUGCGCCCGAAGCCACUAGGCCGAGGGCACGCCUGCCUGGGCGUCACACGUCGUUGCCCCCCCAUCUACUCCUUCGGGAUUGCGGGGGGGGCGGAUGAUGGCCUCCCGUGCGCCUAGCCGCGCGGUUGGCAUAAAUACCAAGUCCUCGGCGACGCACGCCACGACAAUCGGUGGUUGCGAAACCUCGGUUGCCCGUCGUGUGCGUUCGUCGCGCAUCGAGGGCUCGAAAAAAUGCUCGGCUCCGGCUGGGCUUUCAACGCGACCCCAGGUCAGGCGGGGUUACCCGCUGAAUUUAAGCAUAUCAAUAAGCGGAGGA
Molecule: unclassified non-coding RNA, 392 nt
Filed under: soil metagenome
Description: partial contains 5.8S ribosomal RNA, internal transcribed spacer 2, and large subunit ribosomal RNA
Rfam family: 5.8S ribosomal RNA (bases 1-122)
Source: RNAcentral